GAGGAUCCCUUGAGGCCAGGAGCUUGAGACCAGCCUGGGCAAUAUAGCAAGACCCCAUAUUUACAAAUUAAAUAACAAAAAAAUUAGUCAGGUGUGGUUGAGCACACCUGAAGUCUCAGCUACUUGAGAGGCAGAAGCUGGAGAAUCACUUGAAUCCAGCAGUUCAAGACUGAAGUAAGCUAUGACUGUGCCGUUGCAGUCCAGCUUAGGCCACAGAGCAAAAUCUUGUCUCUAAAAAAAAUUAAGUUGUAUAAAAUGGAGAGAAUAUAUCAAAGUACAUCACACAGAAUUAGGGAAGGUAUUAUUUUGUGGAAUUUUAUUUCAGACAAGUGUGUGUGUGAGUCUGUGUGCUGUGAUUUGUAGUGCACAUUAACUAUUUGCCUCAAAUAGCUGUACUAUUCAUGUUUUAUGUUUUGUAUUUAUUUCCUUCUAUUUUGGUUUUUAAAAAUAUAAUGAUGACUGGGAAAUAAGUGAUAACAUCAAAAGGAGGCCUCCAGAAUUUAAAAACAUUUUCUAUAGCCCAUAUAAAAAGGAGCAAAAGGCUAACAUAACAGCCACACAGUUAGAGUUCCUUAGCUGCACCACGUGAGGAAGACAGACCGUCAACCUUCAUUAAAGUCUUCAGCUUGGUGAAAGCACAAGCAGAACACUGAGUGACAAUGUUGUAAGAGUAACGGAGCCAAUCCUGGAACAUCACUAGGUAUGGUACAGGCAACAUAACAUAUUCUCCAAGUGCACAGAUUCUGCAGUGGAACUGCCUAGGCUCAAACUAAUUCCUCUAGCAACUACCUGAGACCUUGCAAAAUUUACUUAAUCUCUAUAUUUUUGUUCCAUCAUUAUACAUGGAUUAGUCUCUACCUUAUAGAAUUAUUGAACAGAUUAAGUUAAAAUGCGCAUAAUUUUUUUGCAAGAAUGGAAAACCUAAUCCUAAAAUUUCUGUGAAAUUAUUAGGGAUCUAAAUAGCCAAAACAAUCUUGAAGAAGAACACAGUUUGGUGAAUCAUACUUCAUGAAUGCAAAACUUAUAACCAAGUAACAGCAAUAAAAUC
Molecule: long non-coding RNA, 1048 nt
Organism: Homo sapiens (human)
Lineage: Eukaryota; Metazoa; Chordata; Mammalia; Primates; Hominidae
Source: Ensembl